GGUCAAGUGAAGAAGCGCAUACGGUGGAUGCCUUGGCAGUCAGAGGCGAUGAAAGACGUGGUAGCCUGCGAUAAGCUUCGGGGAGUCGGCAAACAGACUUUGAUCCGGAGAUCUCUGAAUGGGGGAACCCACUCAGCAUAAGCUGAGUAUCUUGUACUGAAUACAUAGGUGCAAGAGGCGAACCAGGGGAACUGAAACAUCUAAGUACCCUGAGGAAAAGAAAUCAACCGAGAUUCCCUUAGUAGUGGCGAGCGAACGGGGACUAGCCCUUAAGUGGCUUUGAGAUUAGCGGAACGCUCUGGAAAGUGCGGCCAUAGUGGGUGAUAGCCCUGUACGCGAAAAUCUCUUAGUCAUGAAAUCGAGUAGGACGGAGCACGAGAAACUUUGUCUGAAUAUGGGGGGACCAUCCUCCAAGGCUAAAUACUACUGACUGACCGAUAGUGAACCAGUACCGUGAGGGAAAGGCGAAAAGAACCCCGGAGAGGGGAGUGAAAUAGAUCCUGAAACCGUAUGCGUACAAGCAGUGGGAGCCUACUUGUUAGGUGACUGCGUACCUUUUGUAUAAUGGGUCAGCGACUUAUAUUCAGUGGCGAGCUUAACCGAAUAGGGGAGGCGUAGCGAAAGCGAGUCUUAAUAGGGCGUUUAGUCGCUGGGUAUAGACCCGAAACCGGGCGAUCUAUCCAUGGGCAGGUUGAAGGUUAGGUAACACUGACUGGAGGACCGAACCGACUACCGUUGAAAAGUUAGCGGAUGACCUGUGGAUCGGAGUGAAAGGCUAAUCAAGCUCGGAGAUAGCUGGUUCUCCUCGAAAGCUAUUUAGGUAGCGCCUCAUGUAUCACUGUAGGGGGUAGAGCACUGUUUCGGCUAGGGGGUCAUCCCGACUUACCAAACCGAUGCAAACUCCGAAUACCUACAAGUGCCGAGCAUGGGAGACACACGGCGGGUGCUAACGUCCGUCGUGAAAAGGGAAACAACCCAGACCGUCAGCUAAGGUCCCAAAGUUAUGGUUAAGUGGGAAACGAUGUGGGAAGGCUUAGACAGCUAGGAGGUUGGCUUAGAAGCAGCCACCCUUUAAAGAAAGCGUAAUAGCUCACUAGUCGAGUCGGCCUGCGCGGAAGAUGUAACGGGGCUCAAACCAUACACCGAAGCUACGGGUAUCACUUAGGUGAUGCGGUAGAGGAGCGUUCUGUAAGCCUGUGAAGGUGAGUUGAGAAGCUUGCUGGAGGUAUCAGAAGUGCGAAUGCUGACAUGAGUAACGACAAUGGGAGUGAAAAACUCCCACGCCGAAAGACCAAGGUUUCCUGCGCAACGUUAAUCGACGCAGGGUUAGUCGGUCCCUAAGGCGAGGCUGAAAAGCGUAGUCGAUGGAAAACAGGUUAAUAUUCCUGUACUUCUGGUUAUUGCGAUGGAGGGACGGAGAAGGCUAGGCCAGCUUGGCGUUGGUUGUCCAAGUUUAAGGUGGUAGGCUGAGAUCUUAGGUAAAUCCGGGAUCUUAAGGCCGAGAGCUGAUGACGAGUUGCCUUUAGGCGACGAAGUGGUUGAUGCCAUGCUUCCAAGAAAAGCUUCUAAGCUUCAGAUAACCAGGAACCGUACCCCAAACCGACACAGGUGGUUGGGUAGAGAAUACCAAGGCGCUUGAGAGAACUCGGGUGAAGGAACUAGGCAAAAUGGCACCGUAACUUCGGGAGAAGGUGCGCCGGUGAGGGUGAAGGACUUGCUCCGUAAGCCCAUGCCGGUCGAAGAUACCAGGCCGCUGCGACUGUUUAUUAAAAACACAGCACUCUGCAAACACGAAAGUGGACGUAUAGGGUGUGACGCCUGCCCGGUGCCGGAAGGUUAAUUGAUGGGGUUAGCUAACGCGAAGCUCUUGAUCGAAGCCCCGGUAAACGGCGGCCGUAACUAUAACGGUCCUAAGGUAGCGAAAUUCCUUGUCGGGUAAGUUCCGACCUGCACGAAUGGCGUAACGAUGGCGGCGCUGUCUCCACCCGAGACUCAGUGAAAUUGAAAUCGCUGUGAAGAUGCAGUGUAUCCGCGGCUAGACGGAAAGACCCCGUGAACCUUUACUAUAGCUUUGCACUGGACUUUGAAUUUGCUUGUGUAGGAUAGGUGGGAGGCUUUGAAGCGUGGACGCCAGUUCGCGUGGAGCCAUCCUUGAAAUACCACCCUGGCAACUUUGAGGUUCUAACUCAGGUCCGUUAUCCGGAUCGAGGACAGUGUAUGGUGGGUAGUUUGACUGGGGCGGUCUCCUCCUAAAGAGUAACGGAGGAGUACGAAGGUGCGCUCAGACCGGUCGGAAAUCGGUCGUAGAGUAUAAAGGCAAAAGCGCGCUUGACUGCGAGACAGACACGUCGAGCAGGUACGAAAGUAGGUCUUAGUGAUCCGGUGGUUCUGUAUGGAAGGGCCAUCGCUCAACGGAUAAAAGGUACUCCGGGGAUAACAGGCUGAUACCGCCCAAGAGUUCAUAUCGACGGCGGUGUUUGGCACCUCGAUGUCGGCUCAUCACAUCCUGGGGCUGAAGCCGGUCCCAAGGGUAUGGCUGUUCGCCAUUUAAAGUGGUACGCGAGCUGGGUUUAGAACGUCGUGAGACAGUUCGGUCCCUAUCUGCCGUGGACGUUUGAGAUUUGAGAGGGGCUGCUCCUAGUACGAGAGGACCGGAGUGGACGAACCUCUGGUGUUCCGGUUGUCACGCCAGUGGCAUUGCCGGGUAGCUAUGUUCGGAAGAGAUAACCGCUGAAAGCAUCUAAGCGGGAAACUUGCCUCAAGAUGAGAUCUCACUGGAGCCUUGAGCUCCCUGAAGGGCCGUCGAAGACUACGACGUUGAUAGGUUGGGUGUGUAAGCGCUGUGAGGCGUUGAGCUAACCAAUACUAAUUGCCCGUGAGGCUUGACCAU
Molecule: ribosomal RNA, 2890 nt
Filed under: Pseudomonas sp. SORT22
Lineage: Bacteria; Pseudomonadati; Pseudomonadota; Gammaproteobacteria; Pseudomonadales; Pseudomonadaceae
Also listed under: 2 other names
Description: 23S ribosomal RNA
Rfam family: Bacterial large subunit ribosomal RNA
Source: RNAcentral